CGGGGUGAGUAAUGUCUGGGAAACUGCCUGAUGGAGGGGGAUAACUGCUGGAAACGGUAGCUAAUACCGCAUAACGUCGCAAGACCAAAGAGGGGGACCUUCGGGCCUCUUGCCAUCGGAUGUGCCCAGAUGGGACUAGCUAGUAGGUGGGGUAACGGCUCACCUAGGCGACGAUCCCUAGCUGGUCUGAGAGGAUGGCCAGCCACACUGGAACUGAGACACGGUCCAG
RNAcentral lists this ribosomal RNA (229 nucleotides) under uncultured bacterium. Its description in RNAcentral is "partial 16S ribosomal RNA". It matches the Rfam family "Bacterial small subunit ribosomal RNA", at positions 104 to 334 of the family's 1533-position model. The record is from RNAcentral.